Molecule: long non-coding RNA, 1886 nt
Organism: Girardinichthys multiradiatus
Lineage: Eukaryota; Metazoa; Chordata; Actinopteri; Cyprinodontiformes; Goodeidae
Exons: 3
Source: RefSeq, a predicted model, not a curated record
UCAACCUGGGAGUACAGAGAGACAUGGGAAAAUGAACAGAAGAAAAAUCUCAGAACGAAUCUUGACCACAAAAAACAAAGAACUAGAGCUCAGGGUGCUUGAUUAGCAACUAUAUGGAGAGAGCAGUUGUAUGGCAGCUCCUUAAAAGCUGUGUCAGAUGAGGAGAUUGCAUACAGGUGUGCUGCCUGCUGCAGCGGCUACUCAGCCGUGCCCUCCUGCAGGGAGCCCCAGUGGAAGAGAGACCUCACUCAAACACACCGGGAUCAUAGCAAACAGGGAUCAGAUCAGUAAAGUUUAGGUGGACUGAACAACAGAGUGUCAUCUGCAUAAAACAUGAUUCGUAUAUUAUGGCUUUGGAGAGGAUGCCCAAGAAAAGUGACAUAGACAAAGACCAGCAGGGAACCAAUGACUCAUUUUUGUAGUACGCUGCAAGGCAAUCUGGCAAAUGAAAAGCUAAAUUCAAUUUUGAUUUUGUUAGAGAGAAGUACUUUUAUCAACAUUAAUUCUUAAACCUUUAUAUUUGAUACUGGAUAACACUCUGACUGUGUCAAAGAUGGCGGUCCUAAUGUCUUUACAUUUUGCGUUAAGAGAGACAGACUUCAGGACUUCCUGUGCAACAGCUAGCAGGCGAGACUGGGGAGCAUCUUCUCCCUCACAAGAACCAUCAGCACCGGCGCCCCCCAGGGGUGUUCUCUCCCCACUCCUCUUCCCCCUCUACACAAAUGACUGCACCUCAGCGGACCCAUCUGUGAAGCUCCUGAUGUUUGCAGAUGACACCACUGUUACUGGUCUGAUCCAGGACAGUGAUGAGUCUGCAUACAGACAUGAGGUAGAUUGGCUGGUCCACUGCAGUCAGAACCACCAGGAGCACUUGGACCGUUCAUUACUGCAGAGAUGACAGUGGACUUCCAGAGAGCUCCACUACACUCCCUCCCUUUAUGAUCCUCUACAACAUAGUGUCUACUCUUGGCUCAACUACAAACCGGACAGGUCCAAACUGCAAAGACCAAUCAGGUCUGCAGAGAUAGUCAUCAGGGCUGACCUUCCCUCUGUCCAGGACUUAUAAAGAUCUAAGGUCAGAUAAAAGGCAGCUAACAUCUCUGCAGACCCCACACAUCCUGGACACAAACUGUUUUGGCUUUUACCUUCAGGUGGCGCCACAGAUAGCUGUUAGCAGAAACCAGCUGCUGUCAGGGUCUGGGAGUAUGCAUGUUUUCUGUUUCUUGCCUGCUAUUUACUCUGCUUAGUCCAUAGGUGGCGUGGGAGCUCAUGAGCGCACAGGUGACAGGUGUGGCUGAUCCUUCUGAUUGCUGCUGGGAGCAUUUAAGCAGGAGGCUGCCAGUACUUCAACGCCUGAGUGUUAGCCAAUAGUGGAUGCUUUCAAGACCUGGCUCAGUUUUCAGUUCGUUCCUUAACUUCUGGAUCUACGAUUCAAGCCUCCAGUUACCUUCUUAAGACAAACUCCAAGCUAGCAGCUUCCUGGCUCUGUGAUCAACCAGCCACAAUCACAAGCGAACCUUGUUCACCCUCCAACAAGCUUCUGUGCAAGCCCCACCACCCAACGCACCACGCCACCUUCUUCACGCCACGGACUAAGCUCAACUGGACUUCCAGGAAACCUCCUUCAAGCAUCCAUAGACUAACCUACCUUGGAUAUUACCCUCUUCAGUUUCCUCUGGUCUCGUGCUCCCAGACUCCACAUCUCUCUUUCCCCCUGGCGGUUCAAUCAUCUCCUCCAUUGGUGAUUUACCAGUCCUGGUUCUCUCGCCAUUGCUCAUUCCUGUGAAAAUAAAUCUCUUACAAAUCUGUAAACUCUCCUGAGUGUAUUUCUGCAUGUGGGUCAGAUCCGUUUCUAGAAUUAUGACAGCCGCUGUUCUCCUCCAGGC